AGUGAACGCUGGCGGUAGGCCUAACACAUGCAAGUCGAACGGCAGCACAGUAAGAGCUUGCUCUUACGGGUGGCGAGUGGCGGACGGGUGAGGAAUACAUCGGAAUCUACUUUUUCGUGGGGGAUAACGUAGGGAAACUUACGCUAAUACCGCAUACGACCUACGGGUGAAAGCAGGGGAUCUUCGGACCUUGCGCGAUUGAAUGAGCCGAUGUCGGAUUAGCUAGUUGGCGGGGUAAAGGCCCACCAAGGCGACGAUCCGUAGCUGGUCUGAGAGGAUGAUCCGCCACACUGGAACUGAGACACCGUCCAGACUCCUACGGGAGGCAGCAGUGGGGAAUAUUGGCCAAUGGGCGCAAGCCUGCUCCAGCCAUACCGCGUGGGUGAAGAAGGCCUUCGGGUUGUAAAGCCCUUUUGUUGGGAAAGACAAGCAGCAGGUUAAUACCCCGCUGUUCUGACGGUACCCAAAGAAUAAGCACCGGCUAACUUCGUG
This 492-nucleotide ribosomal RNA is filed under the name uncultured bacterium. RNAcentral describes it as "partial 16S ribosomal RNA". It matches the Rfam family "Bacterial small subunit ribosomal RNA", at positions 29 to 507 of the family's 1533-position model. The record is from RNAcentral.